GUGCGUGUGUGCGCGCGUGUGUGCGCGAGUGAGUGUGUGCCCGGGGUGCGCGCGCGGGCGGGAGUGGGCGCGCGCGGGGAAAGGCCCGAAAACACCUUAGUUUGCACCGAGAGACCAUUUGCAGCGGAACCCGAAAGUUUGCAAGAGAAAGAGAGCGCGCGGCGAGCGAGCGGGCCGGGGGCAGCGGCAGCGGCAGCGGCACCGGGGACCAUGGUGCUGCCGGCGCCUCCUCCGCGGGCGUGAAGGCGGCGCUCCCACUUCCUCCCCGGACUCCGCGGUGUCCCAGAAGCUUUUGUUGACAAUUCCAGUUUCCGAACAAAACAUUUCGGCAAUGGUGAGGGCUUCGAUCCCUUCUCUGAUUUGCUGUCGGCCAUGAACGGAUGGAUGUGAUGCCUGCUAGCCAAAAGGGUGAGUGAAUGAAUGUUUGUGAUUAUUCAUCUGAAAAUUCACCAGACAAAAAGUCCGUCAAGACAGUUGCCCACCCAGGAAAGAAGGGACAAAC
Molecule: long non-coding RNA, 502 nt
Filed under: Saimiri boliviensis boliviensis (Bolivian squirrel monkey)
Lineage: Eukaryota; Metazoa; Chordata; Mammalia; Primates; Cebidae
Description: lncRNA (ENSSBOG00000036556.1)
Source: RNAcentral